AUUGAACGCUGGCGGCAGGCCUAACACAUGCAAGUCGGACGGUAGCACAGAGAGCUUGCUCUCGGGUGACGAGUGGCGGACGGGUGAGUAAUGUCUGGGGAUCUGCCCGAUAGAGGGGGAUAACCACUGGAAACGGUGGCUAAUACCGCAUAACGUCGCAAGACCAAAGAGGGGGACCUUCGGGCCUCUCACUAUCGGAUGAACCCAGAUGGGAUUAGCUAGUAGGCGGGGUAAUGGCCCACCUAGGCGACGAUCCCUAGCUGGUCUGAGAGGAUGACCAGCCACACUGGAACUGAGACACGGUCCAGACUCCUACGGGAGGCAGCAGUGGGGAAUAUUGCACAAUGGGCGCAAGCCUGAUGCAGCCAUGCCGCGUGUAUGAAGAAGGCCUUCGGGUUGUAAAGUACUUUCAGCGGGGAGGAAGGCGGUGCGGUUAAUAACCGCGCCGAUUGACGUUACCCGCAGAAGAAGCACCGGCUAACUCCGUGCCAGCAGCCGCCGCCG
Molecule: ribosomal RNA, 504 nt
Filed under: uncultured bacterium
Lineage: Bacteria
Description: partial 16S ribosomal RNA
Rfam family: Bacterial small subunit ribosomal RNA
Source: RNAcentral